This is a long non-coding RNA of Dreissena polymorpha, 413 nucleotides long. RefSeq lists it as uncharacterized. NCBI's taxonomy places the organism in Eukaryota, Metazoa, Mollusca, Bivalvia, Myida, Dreissenidae. The transcript has 2 exons. The record is from RefSeq and is a predicted model, not a curated record.
AUUUGUGCCAUGCAUCUGUUACUAUUCUGAAUGCUACAUAUUCAAUAAACUUGUACAUGAAUAGGAUUACAAUUAUUACAUAGUAUAACAAUAAAUACAUAAAGUAGUAUAAUAUGUACCUGUAUAUAUAUAUAUACCAUUUUUUGAAAAAUAACAAUUUUACCACAUGUUCCCAUCAUCAUGCUUCUAUUAACAAAACAACAAUUGAAUUCGUUUAAUCGUUCUCAUUGUUGUCUGUUUUUAAAAAUAAAGACAAUGCAAUAUAGGCGAGAUACUUAGGAUACAAGGACUGGUAUUCCCAAAGCUCUCAAGAGAACUCUUACAAUAAUAUGUACACACAAGAGCAAAUCGCAAAAUAGUUUUCUUUUUUAUAUAAAAGUAAUUAUAUUAGAAACAUUUAGUUGUUUAAAACA